AUUAUAUAUGUAUAUAUAUAUAAAUUGUUUUAUUCGAAAAUAUGAAGCUGUCAAAGAAAGGGACACAAUGUAUUCAUCUUGAUUCUAGAAGGCACCAUCGAUAUAACAAAAUAAAAAUCAACUUUGAACAAUUAAGUUACUUCCCCCUUGGAAACACUAAGAACAGAUUAAAAUGUCUAGAAACCUAAGCCAACAUGGCUGUAAGUGUUCAGGACAUGUCAUUUCAAAAUGACAGACAUAAUACAUAAUUCAUAUAAAUAGUUUCUAUAAAUACAUUGUAAAUAAAGGCUCAUAAAAAAUAACUUUAUAUGUUAAUAAUAAAGUUUUACAACAUAAUAAAAUUCAAUAUUUUCAAUAGUUGACUACAUAAGAAAAAUAAUAGACGUCCUUUUUUACAAAAAAAAAAAAAAAAAAAAUAUG
Molecule: non-coding RNA, 420 nt
Organism: Biomphalaria pfeifferi
Lineage: Eukaryota; Metazoa; Mollusca; Gastropoda; Planorbidae
Source: the annotation of a GenBank genome assembly